CCUACGGGAGGCAGCAGUGAGGAAUCUUGGUCAAUGGACGAGAGUCUGAACCAGCCAAGUAGCGUGAAGGAUGACUGCCCUAUGGGUUGUAAACUUCUUUUAUAUGGGAAUAAAAUGUUCCACGUGUGGGGUUUUGUAUGUACCAUAUGAAUAAGGAUCGGCUAACUCCGUGCCAGCAGCCGCGGUAAUACGGAGGAUCCGAGCGUUAUCCGGAUUUAUUGGGUUUAGAGGGUGCGCAGGCGGAAGCUCAAGUCAGCGGUAAAAUUGAGAGGCUCAACCUCAUCGAGCCGUUGAAACUGGUUUGCUUGAGUGAGCGAGAAGUAUGCGGAAUGCGUGGUGUAGCGGUGAAAUGCAUAGAUAUCACGAAGAACUCCGAUUGCGAAGGCAGCAUACCGGCGCUCAACUGACGCUCAUGCACGAAAGUGUGGGUAUCGAACAGGAUUAGAUACCCCAGUAGUC
RNAcentral lists this ribosomal RNA (459 nucleotides) under uncultured bacterium. Its description in RNAcentral is "partial 16S ribosomal RNA". It matches the Rfam family "Bacterial small subunit ribosomal RNA", at positions 338 to 795 of the family's 1533-position model. The record is from RNAcentral.